Molecule: long non-coding RNA, 479 nt
Filed under: Gossypium barbadense (sea-island cotton)
Lineage: Eukaryota; Viridiplantae; Streptophyta; Magnoliopsida; Malvales; Malvaceae
Description: long non-coding RNA (GBAR_LNC012158)
Source: RNAcentral
AACGAUAUAGGUAAACGCUCGAAUCUUUCUUUUGUUAUUCAUGAAUUAAGGUAAAAGCCGAAAAACCCCUAUAUGCAAAGGGUGCCUGUUGGUUGUACUCAAAGGGUUUAGUGGUGAUAUCUGAUUUGUUUUCCUAUAGUGUGGAUUAAAGGUUACUAAUUGAGGGCUUGGAUAUUUGGAACGACCAGAGUUAGAUCUAGUCCAUUUUUUCGGCAAAGGUAAGAACACUAGUGCCUAAAGUGUGAAUGGUCGAUUUUUAGUAAGGAGUUUUGCAGAUAAGUUGCUAUGGAUUCAUAGUUAACGUAUUAGUAAUUGAUUGUAGGCAGUUCGUGUGUGGAACUCGUCAGCGUUUCGUCACAAACAGGUGUGUAAACGACACCCACUCAUAGACUUGAUCGGUAAAAGCCGAAAAGCCAAAAUGCCGAAAAGUCGACAUUUGUGAACUUGCGAGCGUGCGAGCGCUCGUGAGGUGGUUUGUU